Molecule: ribosomal RNA, 449 nt
Filed under: uncultured bacterium
Lineage: Bacteria
Description: partial 16S ribosomal RNA
Rfam family: Bacterial small subunit ribosomal RNA
Source: RNAcentral
UACCAGACUCCUACGGGAGGCAGCAGUGGGGAAUAUUGCACAAUGGGGGGAACCCUGAUGCAGCGACGCCGCGUGGGCGAGGAAGUAUUUCGGUAUGUAAAGCCCUAUCGGCAGGGAAGAAGAAAUGACGGUACCUGAAUAAGAAGCACCGGCUAAAUACGUGCCAGCAGCCGCGGUAAUACGUAUGGUGCAAGCGUUAUCCGGAUUUACUGGGUGUAAAGGGGGCGCAGACGGCAGCGCAAGCCAGGAGUGAAAGCCCGGGGCCCAACCCCGGGACUGCUCUUGGAACUGCGCGGCUGGAGUGCAGGAGGGGCAGGCGGAAUUCCUGGUGUAGCGGUGAAAUGCGUAGAUAUCAGGAGGAACACCGGUGGCGAAGGCGGCCUGCUGGACUGCGACUGACGUUGAGGCCCGAAAGCGUGGGGAGCAAACAGGAUUAGAUACCCGUGUAC